Molecule: ribosomal RNA, 1424 nt
Rfam family: Bacterial small subunit ribosomal RNA
ACAUGCAGUCGAGCGGACAGAUGGGAGCUUGCUCCCUGAUGUUAGCGGCGGACGGGUGAGUAACACGUGGGUAACCUGCCUGUAAGACUGGGAUAACUCCGGGAAACCGGGGCUAAUACCGGAUGCUUGUUUGAACCGCAUGGUUCAAACAUAAAAGGUGGCUUCGGCUACCACUUACAGAUGGACCCGCGGCGCAUUAGCUAGUUGGUGAGGUAAUGGCUCACCAAGGCAACGAUGCGUAGCCGACCUGAGAGGGUGAUCGGCCACACUGGGACUGAGACACGGCCCAGACUCCUACGGGAGGCAGCAGUAGGGAAUCUUCCGCAAUGGACGAAAGUCUGACGGAGCAACGCCGCGUGAGUGAUGAAGGUUUUCGGAUCGUAAAGCUCUGUUGUUAGGGAAGAACAAGUGCCGUUCAAAUAGGGCGGCACCUUGACGGUACCUAACCAGAAAGCCACGGCUAACUACGUGCCAGCAGCCGCGGUAAUACGUAGGUGGCAAGCGUUGUCCGGAAUUAUUGGGCGUAAAGGGCUCGCAGGCGGUUUCUUAAGUCUGAUGUGAAAGCCCCCGGCUCAACCGGGGAGGGUCAUUGGAAACUGGGGAACUUGAGUGCAGAAGAGGAGAGUGGAAUUCCACGUGUAGCGGUGAAAUGCGUAGAGAUGUGGAGGAACACCAGUGGCGAAGGCGACUCUCUGGUCUGUAACUGACGCUGAGGAGCGAAAGCGUGGGGAGCGAACAGGAUUAGAUACCCUGGUAGUCCACGCCGUAAACGAUGAGUGCUAAGUGUUAGGGGGUUUCCGCCCCUUAGUGCUGCAGCUAACGCAUUAAGCACUCCGCCUGGGGAGUACGGUCGCAAGACUGAAACUCAAAGGAAUUGACGGGGGCCCGCACAAGCGGUGGAGCAUGUGGUUUAAUUUGAAGCAACGCGAAGAACCUUACCAGGUCUUGACAUCCUUUGACAAUCCUAGAGAUAGGACGUUCCCUUCGGGGGCAGAGUGACAGGUGGUGCAUGGUUGUUGUCAGCUCGUGUCGUGAGAUGUUGGGUUAAGUCCCGCAACGAGCGCAACCCUUGAUUUUAGUUGCCAGCAUUCAGUUGGGCCCUUUAAGGUGACUGCCGGUGACAAACCGGAGGAAGGUGGGGAUGACGUCAAAUCAUCAUGCCCCUUAUGACCUGGGCUACCCACGUGCUACAAUGGACAGAACAAAGGGCAGCGAAACCGCGAGGUUAAGCCAAUUCCCCAAAUUUGUUUUCAGUUCGGAUCGCAGUUUGCAACUUGACUGCGUGAAGCUGGAAUCGCUAGUAAUCGCGGAUCAGCAUGCCGCGGUGAAUACGUUCCCGGGCCUUGUACACCCCGCCCGUCACCCCCCGAGAGUUUGUAACCCCCGAAGUCGGUGAGGUAACCUUUAGAGCCAGCCGCCGAAGU